Non-coding RNA from Phalacrocorax carbo (great cormorant), 5176 nucleotides. The record is from RefSeq and is a predicted model, not a curated record. Lineage: Eukaryota; Metazoa; Chordata; Aves; Suliformes; Phalacrocoracidae.
GUUCACCCUAGAAGGACAUAAGCAAGAGGUUGGAGAGGGAGAGCUGACGAAGCUUGGCACCGUGGGGAUACACAAGUCACAAAGUUAUCCACUGAUCCCAAAAGGGCCUGUCAUGCUACAGAGCGACAUACGGAGAAAUUCAGAUGGCAAUAUUACAGAUGUUUAACAUGCAUAUAAAGGGAAAAGAAUUAGAAGAGGGAUUCCUAGUCCCAGAGCUCAACUGGCCAGCCUUGAGAAAAGGAGGCUCAGAGGGGAUCUCAUCGCCAUGUACCAGUACUUAAGGGGCAGCUACAAAGAAGACGGAGACUCCCUUUUUACACAGAGUCCCAUGGAGAGGACAAGGGGGAUGGACACAAGUUGCUCUUGGGGAGAUUCCGACUGGACACGAGAGGGAAAUGUCUCACAGUGAGGACAGUCACCAUGGGAAUAAUCUCCCCAGGGAAGGGGUUGGCUCGGCCACGUUGGACACCCUCAAGAGCCGUCUGGACAGGGCGCUGGGCCGUCUUGUCUAGGCUGGGCUCUUCCUAGAAAGGUUGGACUAGAUGGUCCCUGAGGUCCCUUCCAACCUGGGAUUCUGUGUGAUACUUGUUCAGCUUGGAAUGUAAUACACAUACGUGUAAUGGCUCAAGUUUUCUACAGAACCCAGGCUGAUUUGCAUCAGUGGAGAACUCGUCAAGGGAUUCAGUGAUGGAAAGCCUACAGUGAGAGGAAGAUGUCCUGAUGAAGAGCAGCCAUUCUCAAACCAGACAGAACUGGUAAGGCUAGAGAUGGGUCCUGGAUAGCUCGGAAGGCAAGGCAGCCAUCUGCUGUGGGCUGCCUCUACCAAAAAGCCUAUUGUGCUGGAUAUUUUUAUAAAUGUAAGCAUGAGAGCUGACGAAGUGGUAGCCACUGCGGGUAGCCUCUGAGGUCUUGAUUUGGCAAGGCGCUUAAACGGGCACUGAAAGCUGCAAACUGAAACGCAUGUGUCCUAGCAAGCUGGUAUGCUACGUCGAAUCGGGAAUACUAGGAUUUUCCAAGUAGCUUUCUUUGGUUAGUAUAACUUUACUUUAAAAGUCCUAUUUGCAUUAUAAAGCUUUGGUGGUUUAACAUAAAAAUAUAAUUUUUGGAAACACUAUAUUUAACUGCUGCUGAGCAUUCUUCAGAACGAUGCUACAGAACCGCUAGCACUGCCUGGCUAGAAUGCUAAGUGUAGCACUGAAAUAUUGUAGCUUAAUCGCUCAAAAGUUGCCCAUCUGUAGUUAUGAAAGAACAUAAUACUUAAAAAACGUGUAUUAUGCAAUUGAUAACCGCUUUCUGAUCGACCUCAAUAGCAAUUACGACACGAUUUCACUUGGACGCUGUUGUCAUUCACGUCCUGCGAUCGCUAUUCCAUUGGCUGGCUAUUUCUGCCUCAGAAAGAGUAGCAAAUGCUUCUGAGUACAUUCCUUUUAUUUUAGAAGUACAUCCUUUUGGGGAGUUAUCAAGUAUAAGAAACCUUCUUUAAACCAAGGGAAAUACGUUUUCCCCAAAUACUUCAAACAUUUACUCUGGAUUUUUAUUAUCUUCCCUUACUUGAAGUUAUAAACCAAGAUAGAAUGUCUACAGGAUAAAAACCUGUAUUGACUACCCAAGUAAAGCAAGGGGGGUGUGUGCGUAUAUGUAGUUGGAUAGAGGAAAUAUUGAGCACAGUCUCUUACUUCAUUGACAAGAUACUCCUUAAAAGAUUUACUGCUUUUCUGAAUUCAUUACAGGGCAUUUUAUCAUUGAAUUAAAAAAUAGAGUUUAGUCAAUACUAAACUAGUCCCUGAAAGUCUGAUCCAAUAAAUCUGUACUUUUAAAUCAGCUGGUGUUUUGGGUCUUGAUCCUCUCUUGCAUCAAACUAGAGAAUCUGGCCUUCCAUUUAUUAAUGAUAAAUUCACUUCAGCUCUGCAUUUCCUGUGAUAGAUUUCAUAGCCGUAAUUUUUUAAACAGUGUGUGCACAGACCCGUGCUAGAUCUGCACGCACAAUUACUGUGAGUACUUGCACUAAAACUACCCAGACUUAUAAAGCCUUCUGAGCACGUAUUUAUCUGAUCUGGUCCAUGCACAGAUCUUUCCAGAAGUCAGAAUCUGUAAAAUAUUAAUUACGAUUUAAUGAAUUUUUUUUUUUAAUUAAGAAUAUAGGUAAUCACUUGGCGAGACUUUAUCAAUUACUGUCACACGGUUCGCCCUUCGUAGAUUAUGGUUAAAUAUAAAUAUACAUAUUUCAUCUAGUCAUUCAUCUGAACGUAGGGCUUUGUUCUGAAGAUACACUGUACUCUCCCUUGUAAAACUUGAAGUAUCUGUGGUAUUAGGACUUUCUGAAAGGCAGCGGUGGACAUAUUUUUUGGAAGACCUAUUAUUAGGUCUGAAAAGUAAUACAUUAGGGUACACGUUUUGUGGAUGCUCCGAUGAUCCAUUUUUUGUUUCAUCCACAGAUUUAACCUUUUAUCUUGAUUUAGACUUGAGCUACGUGGCCAUUGGCAUGCUAGCCAAUUUUACCUCUUCGCAGUGGGAAUCUGGAACGGGCUUCUUGCUCUGACUUGACCUUCCUAAGAGGUAUUUCUUAAAAGACGUCCACCAUACUGCUUGUCCGUGAGGCCCUUGCUCAGUCUGCAAAGCUCUGGUACUUAUUGUCAAAGCCUUUAGAGCACCAUAGGAAAACAAUUUUGGUAUUUGCUUCUCUCACCAACUAAUAGUAAUCCUUUUACUGUCACCUGUCAAUAAGUGGGAAAAACAGUUUAUUCUUGGCCUUCACUUGAGAGUUGAAUGUCACUGUAAGUAUCGGUAGCCAAAGUCUCGUAGAUACAAUGGGAAAACUCUACGUCCGUGUCUUUCGCUAGCAUUUGUUUCCCAGGGAAAGCUGGGGGAACCUCCUUGUAACCGGCAAUACUAGACACCGGUUGCUCAAAACUGUGAAACCUGGCAAUAAACAUAAUUUCAUAAGACUGGGCAGCGACACUGAGUUAGGUCAGUUAUAAAGUACAGGGGAAGAGGGGAAUGAAAAGAACAGAAUAAGACGACUGUACGGUUGAGGAGUUCAAGGGACUAGAUUUAAACGUAUGAAUCCUGAGCUCUGCCAGCUUGUUUCAGAGACAGAAAAACAAAACAUGGGGUGGAACGUUGCUUUCUAGUAGCGUAGCCAGAGCUGCACCUCCGCAGGCGGCGGCAUUACUACUGAAAUGGUACGUUCUUCUUAAUCCGGAUGGAAGGACACUUGUUAGGGCUUUUUGCUGAAAUUGAAUCUGGCAUAAAAAAUGCUUGUCAUUCGUUUUCACCAGUUGUGUGCCCAUUCUGCCAGCAAAGCAUGAAGCUUUCGAUCGGUCGCUGUUUCUCGCUGGUGUAGCAUCAAUACAAUACAGACUCUCUACGAGCUUGAAACAUUCAGCUACUCAAGUAAUGCAGAAUCUGAUUCCACACAAUGUUUUCUUCAGAAUUCAGGAAUGGGAUCGCUUGGCAAUAUUUUAGCCGUAGGUAUUCCCUAAAUCAGAAAUGCGUCAAACCACAGGUGAUGUGAUAUUUGUGUUUCUAAAGUGUUUUUGUCUAAGGACGAUGAGGUGCAACAUGUCCGAUCUGUUGGGAGUGAGGUACUGCCUUCCUGUAUCGUAGAUUAGGAAGGUCUAAUCUGAUGUUGAACAAACGUGCUAAUUGCUAAUAUUCGAUGGAGCCGUAUUUCAGUUCCAGUGAUAAGGUUGUUAGCGCUACCGUAAUCGUUCACGGUAUGACAAAUGUUUUGCAAGUAGGUGGAGCAAAUAGAUUAUUGUGUAAAACAGACAAAAGUGAUCAAUCAGGCAUGGCAGAUCACUCAAGCCCAUUAAAUAGGGCAAUUUAACACUUUUUUUUUUUUUAAAAUAGAUCUCAUCUUACAUUUAAAGGUGCCCCCUCCCUUGUUUUUUAAAGUGUAAAAAGUGCCUCUGAUGGCCUCUGAAGCAGACCUACAGGUUGAUGCAUCUCCUACAGUUCUACAUCAUACCUGAGCGUGACAACAUGGAAAACAAGUGGCUGGAAUUCUCUAGAACAUAAUGUCUCGGAAAGAGAAAUGUACGGAGAAAACGAGGAAGGACUUACUCUUUUUCCGGGUGGACCCGGUGGGCCAGCUUCGCCUGAAGGGCCUGGGGGACCCUGCAGUGGAAAAUGGUAAGCUCAGCGGUGAGGAAGGAUAAAGCUCCGUAUUAAAUGCAACAGAUACCUGCAAUCCGUUGGCCCCUUUCAAUGGACAGGCAGUAAGUACCAUAAACACAGAGGAGCACACCUGCUUAUUCAACGAGUCCUUUCUUAGGGCGGCCUUUCGAAAUUCUGAACGCCUUUCGUUAGUGUACAAAAUGCAACCAUUCUUUUUUUCUCUUCCCAUAUGCAACAGAAGUUUCAGACCAGAAGGUGGCCGCGCACAGGUGACACAUGGUCAUCGCCUACUGCCUAAACUCCAUUAGGAAGUUUUUUGCUUUCUCAGGGGCUGAAGUGAUGCAGAUGGGGGUGAAAAAUGUUAGCAAAAGUGAGUUAGCCGCCCCGUGGGUGGCCUUCUCGUAAAACCUCUGCGCUGACAGCCAUGUGGGCACCCCGUCCUGGUAAGCUGUGAUACUCUUAAAUGUUCCAGGGUUGCUGACCGGUUUGAUAAGCUUUUCUUCAGCAACAAAACACCCUGAAAGUAGGUACUGCUCGGGAAGACGCGCAGAUACUGAUUUCCUGAAGUUUGCAGGCAAAUCCCAGUUUAUAACUUGCUUCCAACCAUACGUUCGAUGUACUAAGAUUUUCAAACUCCUGUACAGGAUAAUUCCGUGAUAACCAGAACUUCCAGAGCCAGAAUGAGACUUUCCAAAAUGGAAACCCUAUCUUUUUGCAAUAAAAAAUUAAUGGUAUUUUAAUAGGGGAAUUACAGAACUGUAAGAACUUUGCUGCUUCAUAUGGGUUUUGCUCAGAUUCUUCUUAACUUUCUUAAAGCAGAAACAUCAAGGCUUCAUUUCAUCAGGUCAGCUAGUGAAGAUUAUUUGGCUGCAGCAUUCCUUUCUUAUGCUCAGAGUCGCUUGAUUUUUAGUGCUCCUAAGCAGCUCCAGCACAAAUCCUUAAUACAUCAUUUGUUUCUACUUCUAGAAGAAACUGAGCUCUUGCUUCUGAUUGUGACUAUAAUAUGGGCAGUUCUAGCUCUUCAAGGAAAUAGAUCUUUUUCAGUAUAAUAGGAAAA